GGAGAGAUGGCCGAGUGGUCGAAGGCGCACGCUCGGAAAGUGUGUAGGCGGGGAACCGUCUCAAGGGUUCGAAUCCCUUUCUCUCCGCCA
Molecule: transfer RNA, 90 nt
Filed under: Devosia sp. A8/3-2
Lineage: Bacteria; Pseudomonadati; Pseudomonadota; Alphaproteobacteria; Hyphomicrobiales; Devosiaceae
Description: tRNA-Ser
Rfam family: tRNA
About the family: Transfer RNA (tRNA) molecules are approximately 80 nucleotides in length.
Source: RNAcentral